CGGAUUGCAGUCUGAAACUCGAGUGCAUGAAGCUGGAAUCGCUAGUAAUCGCAAAUCAGAAUGUUGCGGUGAAUACGUUCCCGGGUCUUGUACACACCGCCCGUCACACCAUGGGAGUUGGAAAUGCCCGAAGUCAGUGACCCAACCUAAGGGAGGGAGCUGCCGAAGGCAGGUUCGAUGACCGGGGUGAAGUCGUAACAAGGUAGC
Molecule: ribosomal RNA, 207 nt
Filed under: uncultured bacterium
Lineage: Bacteria
Description: partial 16S ribosomal RNA
Rfam family: Bacterial small subunit ribosomal RNA
Source: RNAcentral